AUGCUGCCCACCUCCCCGACGGUGGACUCACUCCUCCACGACGAGUGUCUGGACCGAGGGGUCAUCCCCAUCGCUUCGUCCAAGCGUGAGCAGGCCUCCCAGUGCUCGCCGUGCCUAAGGACGGCCACCAACCACCGCGUCCGCAACCUCCUAGAGCAGCCACACAUGUGCCUCCUUGCUGCUCUGUCCCUGGCCACGCACGCCCUAGCCGCAGCGUCCAGGCCGUUCACAGCUGCCACCCUAGUCCGUUCACCAUCGCCAACCGAGUCCGUUCACCACCACCAACUGAGGUCGUUCGACGAUGCAGUGAUGAGGUCGUUCAACGACACAACAGUUAGAUGUUUUCUCUCUAUUUUUCUUCCUCUAUGA
Molecule: ribosomal RNA, 369 nt
Filed under: Triticum aestivum (bread wheat)
Lineage: Eukaryota; Viridiplantae; Streptophyta; Magnoliopsida; Poales; Poaceae
Description: partial small subunit ribosomal RNA
Source: RNAcentral